This 289-nucleotide unclassified non-coding RNA is filed under the name Melitaea cinxia (Glanville fritillary). Its description in RNAcentral is "misc RNA ENSMCXG00005019365.1". The record is from RNAcentral. Lineage: Eukaryota; Metazoa; Arthropoda; Insecta; Lepidoptera; Nymphalidae.
CAUGACAAACAUCAGCUUUCGAUUAAAUUAAAAAUUAUUAAAAUCGGUACACCCAGUAAAAAGUUAUUGCGGAUUUUCAAGAAUUUCCCUCGAUUUCUCUGGGAUCCCAUCAUCAGAUCCUGGUUUCCUUAUCAUGUUACUAAACUUGAGAUAUUUCCUUUCUAACAAAAAAAGAUUUAUCAAAAUCGGUACAUUCAGUAGAAAGUUAUGCGGUAUAAUACAACGUAGGUCGACGAAAAAAGCGUCAAGUAAAAACGCACUAUUAGAUAUAACUCGAAAAGUAGUUGUU